Molecule: long non-coding RNA, 978 nt
Organism: Bubalus bubalis (water buffalo)
Lineage: Eukaryota; Metazoa; Chordata; Mammalia; Artiodactyla; Bovidae
Exons: 3
Source: RefSeq, a predicted model, not a curated record
UCUAAUCUUCUUCGCUAUAGUCAGGAACUCCUCAGCAUACAUCCCUUCUACACCCCCUCUUACCCUUGGCCUCUCCUUGGCUAGAACCCCCAUCUAGUUUUACUGAUGGUAACACAGAAGGAGAACAAAAAAAUGUCUCUGGGUGGUGGAUUAGAACCACUCUUACUUCUUAAGCUUCAUGUUCUUCUGCAGAAAAACAGGGUCAUAGGGCAGCAAUAUGAGAGACACAGGUUGAGAAAUGUGCACACGUGUUUGACCACCUUUGAUCUCACUGAGUCAGCAGUCCAGAGGACACAGCACGUGGCACCAGCAGCCACAUUCUUGUCCACUGCUACUGAAGGGAGUGCCCCCUGGGGUGGAACUGUGAUUUGGAUGUGGCUAGAGGAGAGUGACAUGACUGAGCAACUUCCCUUUCACUUUUCACUUUCAUGCAUUGGAGAAGGAAAUGGCAGCCCACUCCAGUGUUCUUGCCUGGAGAAUCCCAGGGAUGGGGGAGCCUGGUGGGCUUGCGUCUAUGGGGUUGCACAGAGUUGGACAUGACUGAAGCGACUUAGCAGCAGCAGCAGAGGAGAGUGAGAGGAUGCCUCUUCCAGUUUCCGACUGCACUCUCCGUUGUGCGAGUGGAGGAGACUUCCCGGGAAAGAACUCAAACCAGAUCCACAAUUCACGUGCAGAGCAUUUGAGAAGCUCACACUGAGAGGAGACCUGCGAAAAAAAUGCAGCAUAAGCAUCGGCCUGAGCAGCAGAGUGGUCAACAGUGGUCCAGCGAAGUGGUAUCAGUGUUAAGGGAACCACUGGAGCAGAGAUCCACACAGAAAGUAAGCGGUGGUCAGUGUGGAAUGAGGUCUGAAAUACAGGUGCAGUUAAUAAAGCCAGCCUCAAAUAUGCCAACAAUGACCACCCCUGAAGCAGGGAGCACACUACGAUGAAAGCAACCUGGGUCCCAGGUUGAGCAAGGAGAGAACAGCUACUUCUUCA